This 168-nucleotide unclassified non-coding RNA is filed under the name uncultured Tubeufiaceae. Its description in RNAcentral is "sequence contains ITS1". Lineage: Eukaryota; Fungi; Ascomycota; Dothideomycetes; Tubeufiales; Tubeufiaceae. The record is from RNAcentral.
CCGAGUACCGGGUCCUCUGGGCCCUUACUCCCACCCUUUGUAUACCUACCAAAUUUUCGUUGCCUUGGCGGGGUCGAUCCCAGGGGCCUCACGGCUCCGGGGGGACUCGCCAGGGGGCACCUCUAAACUCUUAUAACCGUGUCGUCUGAGAAAAAACACAAUAAAUUA